This 660-nucleotide ribosomal RNA is filed under the name uncultured Lachnospiraceae bacterium. Its description in RNAcentral is "bacterial SSU rRNA". It matches the Rfam family "Bacterial small subunit ribosomal RNA", at positions 63 to 739 of the family's 1533-position model. The record is from RNAcentral. Lineage: Bacteria; Bacillati; Bacillota; Clostridia; Lachnospirales; Lachnospiraceae.
UUCAUUGAGACUUCGGUGGAUUUGAUCUAUUUCUAGUGGCGGACGGGUGAGUAACGCGUGGGUAACCUGCCUUAUACAGGGGGAUAACAGUCAGAAAUGGCUGCUAAUACCGCAUAAGCGCACAGAGCUGCAUGGCUCAGUGUGAAAAACUCCGGUGGUAUAAGAUGGACCCGCGUUGGAUUAGCUUGUUGGUGGGGUAACGGCCCACCAAGGCGACGAUCCAUAGCCGGCCUGAGAGGGUGAACGGCCACAUUGGGACUGAGACACGGCCCAGACUCCUACGGGAGGCAGCAGUGGGGAAUAUUGCACAAUGGGGGAAACCCUGAUGCAGCGACGCCGCGUGAAGGAAGAAGUAUCUCGGUAUGUAAACUUCUAUCAGCAGGGAAGAUAGUGACGGUACCUGACUAAGAAGCCCCGGCUAACUACGUGCCAGCAGCCGCGGUAAUACGUAGGGGGCAAGCGUUAUCCGGAUUUACUGGGUGUAAAGGGAGCGUAGACGGUGUGGCAAGUCUGAUGUGAAAGGCAUGGGCUCAACCUGUGGACUGCAUUGGAAACUGUCAUACUUGAGUGCCGGAGGGGUAAGCGGAAUUCCUAGUGUAGCGGUGAAAUGCGUAGAUAUUAGGAGGACACCAGUGGCGAAGGCGGCUUACUGGACGGUAA